CUUAACUUGCAUUUGGACAAAUUGUGUAAUUAUCAGGUAAAAUAAUAAUGUAAUCGUCUGUAAUGGCCUUUGUGGUGUCGAGAUCUCGAGGUUGGAAAGAGGCAAUACACAGGGACAACUCUGGAGGCAGAUAUUUAUAUUUAUUUCAUACAAUAACAUUAAAUAAAAAAAGUUAAAUACGCAAACACACAAAGGUAAAUUAGCUAUAUGACUCCUUGACCUGUGUAAAUGUCAGAUAAAUUGUAUUAUUAUUCUCCUGCACGAUAUUGUUUAUGUAUUAAGAAGACAUUGUAGUCCUGCAGUGCCAUCUUGUGGUCUGUUCCGCUUUUAUUUUGUUAAGCGAGCGUUUCUUCUUCUUCUGCGGUUUUUCUGACGCCGAACUUCCUGUUUCUUUGUCUAAACAACGUAGUGCUCACGCAUCGUCGGAGAAACGCUCCGAGCAGCGGCGUGUGUGUGUGUGAGCUGGAGAGCAUGCUAGCGGAUGGCUAACACUUAAAUUAGCGCCCUUGGAACGGCGGAAUGAGUUUUCACGGUGCUUAUGGUACACGGCGCUGGUCGAGAGUGAGAAUAAAUCAACACCCGUUUGAAACUCUCUGCGUCUUGCUGAAUGAAUCCAAGGGGCCGCUACAACCUGCAUAAAUACAAAUGUUUAUAAUGUUAUAAAACAUACAGCCUUUUCCGUGCAGCCUCCGGCUCUGCAGACACAUACUAUUGGAAUAUUUUGAGUGAAAUCAUCCUUUAAAAUUCCCUCUCGGUGCAGCCUCUGGCUCUGCAGACAUACCCUUCUCCCGGUCCGUGGGGCUCUCUGCAGCUGCUGAUCAGUGGAUUGGUCGCGGCUGUGAGAGUCCCACACCUGUAGCGCAUUCCCAUCUGCUGCUAUAAAGACCGGCUUCACACGGCAGGGGACGUGGGACCAUACUGCCUUGUCUCCAGCCUAUAAGACGACGCCGCAGCGCUGAAGCAGCAGCGUGUUUCCCCCGCUGUCCUUUGUGGAAGGAUGAGGACCCCUGACGCCCUAGUCGAAAGAAGGCGUGGACCUCCCCCUCCUCCCUGGACUUCCCGAUUGGGCGGCGUGAGCCCUGGACUGUUGCUCACCUGGAGCCUGACUUCCCCCCUCCCUGAACAUUGUGAGUUCUGGCCAUAGCUGGCAUUGUUGCUGUUCAUGAAUUUGUUUUCGUGAAUAAAGACCUGUUUCAGUUGCCGUCCUGCCUACCACCUGCUCUGUGUGCACUCACCUUGGGUUCAAAUCCCCCGCAUACCUUAACAGUCUCAGUCAUUAAAUUUGUGUGUCCCUGUAUAGUUUCU
Long non-coding RNA from Amphiprion ocellaris (clown anemonefish), 1305 nucleotides. The record is from Ensembl. Lineage: Eukaryota; Metazoa; Chordata; Actinopteri; Pomacentridae.